Molecule: long non-coding RNA, 2642 nt
Organism: Oreochromis aureus
Lineage: Eukaryota; Metazoa; Chordata; Actinopteri; Cichliformes; Cichlidae
Source: Ensembl
UCCAUAAAAAACACGUCUUAAACAACAAUAGAGACAUGAGGUUGAAUAAAGAUACAGUUCAUGCAUGUAACCCUAACCCUUAAACACAAAGUAACUCAGAGAGUAUACAUAAUUCUGGAGAAGUAUGGUGUACAGCGUACACUGUAGUCUGUAGCCCACAGCAGUAUUAGGUUAUUAUGCUGAAACAAAUGAGUGUGCUGUGUGUGCAACAGCAUGACAAACAUUACCUGUCCUUUUAGCUGCUAGCUAACUGGGUAAGGCUGUCAGGGGUCUGUAGCUCUGUCACUGUUUUAGGGAACAUAUUUAGUUUUAAAGUAAGUUACAGGGCUUUCCCUGCCUUUCUAAAAACUAUCUGAUAUGCAUGUCCACAUAAUUAUGGAUUAUUAUAGUUGUGAUAUUUAAACACACACACACACACACACACACACACACACACACACACACACACACACACAUGUAUAAAAUGUUGCUUCUCCAGAAUACUGGAUAUACUUUGGCCACAAGUUUGCAUCAUGGUGCUGAUCCAGAAUCCUUCCCUUAUUAUUUAUUCCUAGUGCUUUAAUAAUAAAGUAAUGAGAAUUUUAAAAAAUAUAUAAUAAGUAGUAAAUAUAAAAUAAUGUAUUGAUCAGGAUUCAGUUUGUUUGACUAUCCACUCUGUGCAGACAGAAAUUUUAUUUAAUGUUUAAACUGCAGAGAUACAAUAAUGUUACUGCUUGAAAGUCAGCAUUUUGUCAUAUUUGAAAAUUUAAAUCUAAAUUAUUCUGUUUCUUAAUGUAUUUUCUUUAAAAUACACUGUGUGUGUGUGUGUGUGUGUGUGUGUGUGUGUGUGUGACUGAGAGAGAGAGAGAGGAGUGAGUUAAGGUGAUGUAGGGAGUGAUUUAUGUGUAUAGAUGUUUUUGUUACAGUUUUACCCUACCAUGACCGUCCCCUUCUUUUGCCCUACUAUUAUUCCGAUUUCAGUUUAUUUCCCACAGUGUUUUUAAACUGUUGCCUUAUGAUUCCAAGCGCUGUCACUAAUCUUUGCAUUUCAUUAUUAUCUAAUAACACUUGUUUAAUCAGCUACCAUCUCUCUUAUGGAAUUUUUAAUGUCUGCAGCCUCAGAUCAGCACAGCCCCGCCCUCCAGCUCUAUCAGCAGCAACAUUGUUCCCAUCAGGUGAAACAAAGUAUGUUUGCUCUACAUUGUCCCCGCCUGAUGACAGUGAUAUAGUUUGAUGUGAUUCCAUAUUAGAUUCUUGAUGAAUGUGUGUUGUUGUUGUUCAGCCUGGUUCUAUGUGCCCCUUUUUAACUUUGAGCACCCGCCCUGUCACAGCCCUUUCCUUUGUUUGACUUAAUCACGUGAAAAAUAAAAAGUCCAAGAGUGUACAACACACUGCUUCCUCUUUUUUUCUUCCUUUUUUCUAGCAAAUCAGCAUCCUUUGCUGUAAACAGUUCUAUAACAGCUUUUAGCGGCACAAGACAAAAUGCUGACAGACCCAUGUGGUUCCAUGUGCUUGUAGGUACUCAGACUAAUGCAGCAAACAGCUGAGGUGUGAAAGGUGUUGUACUGAUACUGUACUGAUGUAGUGAUGAAAACUGCAGAGCAUCUUGUUUCCCUGAGAUGACACCUUGUGUAAGCUCUCACAGGGCGUAACCCUGCUGUCUAAUCUAGAGCAGUGGAGGCGUGUUCUUUAUAGAGACGAAUCACACUUCUCCAUCUGCCAAUCCGACGGAUGAGUCUGGAUUCGGUGGCUCCACACUGGGUGAGACGAUCUGUUCUUGCAGAAUAUCAGCACCGACACUGAUAACAGGAUGAUGAUGACAGCCAGAGUCAGACCCACAAACAGCACCACAUCUGCAGCAGUUUGACAAGAACAACAAGUUUAUUUUAGACAAACACCUCCUGGUGAGUUUGAGUACCAGCCCAUCAUGUGGGCUGUAAAGGUAGCUAAGUACACAUGUACAGUAUAGUUGUAUGGUAAGUUUCUUCCAUGCUCAGUUAAAAUGGAGAAUUGGGUCAGACUGUCAUGCUUUAUGAGCAUAAAACCAUGUCUACAUGGCAUACUCACUUCUGAUUGGUUCCUAGUGGCAGAUGACAGCAAAACCAUACAAAUGAUACAAAUUCACUUAAAGUAUGGACUUCUAUAAGAUCUUCCAUCUCUCAAACUCAGUAUAUGGAUGUACCUGUAGAUGCUGUCCUCUCAGACUGCUCAGUGGCUCCAGUGAAAGUUAAUGGAGGUGUGGAGGCUGAUGGGAGGACUGCUGAAAAAGUUCAGUCAUGUGUUUUUUUCAGGUGUUUGAGGUGAACAACAGAACACAACCCAUAACAACAAUAUGACACAUGAGCAUCAUGAAAAGAGAAAAGGAAACCAAAUGUUAGCAGCUGACAGAGACAAAUACACAUUUCCUUUAAUUCUCCAGAAACAUGAAUGAAUUGUAUAGAAACUCACCUGCUGUGACAGUAAUCUCAAACUCUCUGUAUGGAUCAGUACUAAAGGAUCUGUCCACGUAACAUCUGUACCGUCCUGAGUCAGACUCCCUCAGCUGUUUAAUGGUCACAUACAGAAUACCACUUGUACCAGAUUCUUCUUCAUAUUCAGCGCUGUAUCUGUCUCUCUGAGCUCUGCUACCCCGAGUCUCAAUUAAAAUGUCAUCUCUUUCACAU